GAAAUGCGAUAAGUAAUGUGAAUUGCAGAAUUCAGUGAAUCAUCGAAUCUUUGAACGCACCUUGCGCUCCUUGGUAUUCCUUGGAGCAUGCCUGUUUGAGUAUCAUGAAAUCUUCAAAGUAAAUCUUUUGUUAACUCAAUUGGUUUCUACUUUGGUAUUGGAGGUCUUUGCAGCUUCACACCUGCUCCUCUUUGUUCAUUAGCUGGAUCUCAGUGUUAUGCUUGGUUCCACUCGGCGUGAUAAGUUAUCUAUCGCUGAGGACACUGUAAAAGGUGGCCAAGGUAUAUGCAGAUGAACCGCUUCUAAUAGUCCAUUGACUUGGACAAUACUUUUAUGAUCUGAUCUCAAAUCAGGCAGGACUACCCGCUGAACUUAAGC
RNAcentral lists this unclassified non-coding RNA (378 nucleotides) under plant metagenome. RNAcentral's name for it is "partial contains 5.8S ribosomal RNA, internal transcribed spacer 2, and large subunit ribosomal RNA". The stretch from base 1 to 105 matches the Rfam family "5.8S ribosomal RNA", at positions 50 to 154 of the family's 154-position model. The record is from RNAcentral.